CCCAGGGCAGUCCUGCCCCCAGGGGACACUGGGUAAUGCCUGGGGACCUCUGUGGUGGUCACACCGGGGAGCUCCUGGCAUGCAGGGGGUGGGGGCCAGGGGUGCGGCUCCGCCCCCAGGGCCCCCCAUCCGGCCUCUGCAGAGGACCACCCGCCCGCGUGGACAGUGCCGAGGGGGAGCCUGACUCAGCCCGAAAUCCUACCGCCAGUUGAAUGGUCCAAGAGGCAGAGGCCAGACCCUGGUUCAUGUGUGUCCCAGGCAGCCCCGCCUGGACCACUGGACUUCCUGUGUGUGUGCCCAGAGGGGUAUGGGCAGGGGUGGCCCAGAACCUUCUGGAAGGUGGGGAGGCCAGACGCGGGUGCUCAGCCGGCCCUCCGGGUGGAGGUGUGCGCCGGGCAGGAAGCCUCAGGUCAGAGGCGGAAGCGGGCCUCCCUCUGCGGGCCGCGACUCCGGGUGAACGGAGGUCAGAGGAAACCGCCACGGGGCUUCCCAGAAAGCAGGGUCCCGGCUGGUGGGGCGAGGAAGGGGAAGGGGCGCCCAGGCCGCGCCCUCCGCUGCCGGGCGCUGCCCAGGUGUGCGGGCCUCGGGCCCAGCUCCUGCAGGAACUUCAGGCUCCAGACAAACAUCCCCGCUCAGGGCCACCUUCUCCUGCCCCCUGCCCCCUGCCAAGGGCUGCCAGACCUUCCCAGGACCUUCAGCAUCACUACUUUGUUGGAUUUUCCCACCUCCCAUCUCUGCGGCUUCGGACUCGGCAGUGGGCUCUUCAACAUGACACAUGAGCACAAGCAGCGCGAGAAAACGUAGGUGAGCUGGACCCAUCGACGUUAAACAGUCGGGUGCGUGAAAGGACCCCGUCAAGGGACAAGCCGCAGAGCGGGAGGGGAUACUUGCAGAUGCUGCCUGGGGGACGGGUCUAGCGCCCGCUGUGGAAGGAAUCCUCACGGCUCAGCACCCAGUUAAGAAGCCGGCAGAGGAUGCGGAUGGGCACCUCCCCAGAGAUGACGCGCAAGUGGCCACUGCGCACGUGAACGGGCGCUGGACUCGGUUCCCCACGGAUGACGCCUGGAUUUGGGCUGGAUUUCUGGCAGGUCCGCAGAGGGAUGGGGUCCCAGCGCGGGGACCUGGGAGGUGCCUUGGCCAGGCCGAGGCCCAGGGUCCUGGGGUGGGGGGUCAGGAGGGAUGCUGGAAUGAACCCCUGGGCGUGCUGUCUCCUGCCUUCACCCCACAUUAAAGAGUAGGAAGUGGCUCCCAAUGGACAGGAAGCAGACCCUGUGUGACCCCUCCUUCUCCUCCCCUGCCCCAGUGGGGGGGGGACCCCUGCCCAGGGAGGCAGGGCACAGGGC
This 1343-nucleotide long non-coding RNA is filed under the name Canis lupus dingo (dingo). RNAcentral describes it as "lncRNA (ENSCAFG00020018483.1)". The record is from RNAcentral. Lineage: Eukaryota; Metazoa; Chordata; Mammalia; Carnivora; Canidae.